RNAcentral lists this long non-coding RNA (3029 nucleotides) under Androctonus crassicauda. Lineage: Eukaryota; Metazoa; Arthropoda; Arachnida; Scorpiones; Buthidae. The record is from RNAcentral.
UAGGGGGAAGAUACACGAUGUAAAGUUAUAAAAAAAAAAUAAUAAUAAUUAAUUAAUUAUUCUGGCAAAAAAAAAAAUGAGUAUGCAAAGCUAAAGAGCCAAUUUUUUUGCACUCUUAAAAGCGAGAGACGACGUUGCUUUCUGUGUUGUCCAUGUCGAAUUUAUUCGUGGAAUAUCGAUGAUUCGAAGUUGGGAUCACCUGGAUAGUCGGAGUGGGGUCGUUGACCUCCGAUCACGUGACGCAGGCGGAAAACACUUGCGGUACAUUAAAUUUAUUAGCUUAGUCUUAAUUCCAUUUAUUAUCGUCUAAUCGAGACGUAAGUGCGGUUGAAAGUUAUCAGAAUCCGAUUUGUGACCAUUGAAUAUUCUAAAUGGGAUUAUGCGCAACUUCCAUUUUCCUUUUAACGUUGAGGGCACGUGAUUAAUCUACACGUGCACUUCCGACGUCAUGAAAAUGUUACUAUAGCAACAAUGUACCACGCCCGUGGAGAGAAAUCGGGGUAUAGAAGGGGUGUUACCACCUGUGCCGCUAUCGGGACCAAGCGUGAGAUUGGAUUCGAUCACGCCACCACCGAAAAAUAAUCUAAUUUGUACCUAUAUAAGUCGCUUUAAACGUGAAAAAAUAUGUCUGUUUACGUUAUUUAUAAUCUUUCAAAGCGUUUUAGCGAGGUUUUAUUUUCGAAUCUUGCAGUGUAGAGAAUAUGUUCGACUAUAAAGCGAUGAGUUUAGCAACCUAAUUUUUUUUUAAAGGAAAAAAAUAACAUUGAACCAAUACGAUGUUGCGUUAUGAUGCUUCCAAAAUAAGGGCACUUUUUGAGUCGUUGGCACGCACCAAUGACGUAAGCGGGGACACGUUUAAACAAACCGUACUGUGUGUAGUAGUGUUUAUAAAUAAAACCAAAUCACGUAUUGCCCGUUCGGUCGAAAUAAAAUAUGACGUAAUUCGAACGAUGAGUUCAGUUAUCUGACUUCAUCCUUUUGUCAGCUGAGCUAAUUUUUCCAGGGUCAACGUUUGGGUAGAGUCACCAGAGGCGUUGAGUCAACCCCGUUUUUGUUCCAAAGUUCCUCUUUUAAUUUUUGAACUUUUUUAAUAAAAGAAAAAAGAACGAAUUUUUCCCCGAACAAAACAAGGAUCCAGGAGUUAAUUUAUGCAGUGCAUCAGAAAUUCAAAUUAUGCGUUUUAACCUCGUUUAAACCAUGUGUAAAUAAAAAAGUAAGAAAAUAAUAAUAAAAAAAAAACAACUGCUUUUGUAAAAAAGUUGAUAGGUGUAACGAAGUUAACGGUGACCACGUUUUAAAAAUGCAAAUGUCAGAAAAGGAAACAAGACUAGUAAUGGCAUAUACGUGUUUUCGUGCUUAUUUAUUAAAGGAUUUACUCUUGGCUGAGUAUGUUUCUAUUAUGUAAAAAUUCUGACAUUUCUGUCGUCCAUUGUAGUGCUCCGGUGACGUAAUUAACGUCAUGUUUCGACGAUUCUUGUAAUGGUGUGCUCGUGAUGUUACGAGUAUCUCGUUAUCACGUAAAAAUCCGAAAUAGUAAUCCAGUGCAUUCUCUAACAACAUCCUAUUUUUUUUUGUGUGCGCCUUUGCGAGGGUGUCUCUUGUUACAUUAGUAUCAGAGUGCGUGGGUAGAUGGAGCCACGCGUAUUUUGAGACGAUGGGAACGUUAAAUCAACGCAAUUGUUCGAAGAAAUUUACAUUUCUGUUAACAACGCGAUGUCUACCCUCCUCCCCUCUUCUUUAUUUGUAAGUUCUUUAAAUGGGCAUUUUUGCGGAAUAUGUAAAAAUAAAUCUGCAUAUGUAGAUCAUCACGAAGUUCAUUAACAUUUUGAAAAUAACAAAUUUAUUAUUCAUGAAGUUGGUUUCUUAGAAAAUUCGCUAAAAAUUCUCGAAAAUAAUCUCCUGCCAUCUGUUGUAGAUGAACGACGUUACUGUUUCUAUCGAUUUUAGUCGGCUCCUCACUAGUAUACGAUAUCAAAAACUGGAGACGAAACGUAACAUUAACACGUAAUUCAUAAUUUUAACAAUAAAAUUUAACUGGUAUUGCAUCACAAACGGAAUGCUUUGUUGCAUAAGUCGCUGUAGAAAUUUACCUGCUGCUGCUGCUGCUGCGAGGGAGAACGAUGCAACAUUCUCAUCCCCAGGUUGCGGAUUAUUCUCCCUUAAAAAAAAAAAAACUUACUAGGGGACCACUAUUACCUGUCCGUCCAGUUUGUUUACCUGAGAGAAAUGACUCACCACCCUCAUUGCACAAAAGCCGUCGCACCUGGGACCGGGACCUUGGCGGGAAAAAUGCAUUUGUCUGUAUCCCGUGCCGUGGAAUAGUGAAGUGCAGUUUAUUUUUAAACCAUAGUUUCCGAUGAUUGGUAAGUUAUGUUUAAAACCGACUGCAGUAUUUAUAAUUAUUUUAUUUUUUAUUUCCUCUCCGAAAGCUAUGGUCUGUAAUUUAGUGCCCGUUUUAUCAAACAAAAUUGUUUAUUGUUUGAAAUUUAAUCUUUCCUGUAUUGCUGCAUGCCACAUUCUCGCUCUACUUGUAUUGUUUACAUGUCACUGAUUGUUUCCCCAUCGAUUGCUCCCAAAUAAGGUCUUUAUUGUUAAGAUACUUCCCCUGUUAUCGUGCAUAUUAAUUUAUUAUUAAUAUUUUUUUCUUUUAAUCUAUCUGUUUGUUCAUCGGAAGGAAUUACUGUAAUUAUUUUUCUUAAUUAUACCGUUUUUGUGGUUUUUUUCUUUCUAAUUAGGUCAAGAUUAACUCGAUUACUGAGAGAGAUGAACCUAUGUGCCCAUUUUCCUGUCAUAAAAAUGCUAUAACGCCCAUCCCUCCGGCUGAAUAACCCAUUCUGUUCGACUGUGUAAUAAUAUAAACGAAUUUAUACCCAAAGUUAAUGUCGGGGUGAACGACGACAUGAUAAAAAACCCUUUUGAUACACUUUUAUUAUAAAUAGAAGUUUAAUAACCUUUCGAAUGAAUUAUGACGCGUCGUUUCAUUGUUCGGAUGUGAGAAUUAUUGUUAUUAUUAUUAUUAUUUUUUACAG